UAAAGACUGAGAAAGCAAGUAAUAAUGGAACUUAUAUUUAUCAUGGUUUGGUUAUAUAGGAGAUAAUAUUUUUGGGUCAAGCACGCCUGAUGCAGCUGAAUCUCUGAAAGCAAUGUGUCAGGCUGCUAUGAACUCAGUAAACUUAACUCAAUCAAGUAAAUGCUAAGAAAAUAGGUAAAAUAGUAAGUUUUAUUCAUUAAAUCACUAUGAAUGCACCCAUUAUAACCACCCCCUGCAGACCCCCUCAACUGCCACCACCACCUGCAGAUGCUCCCCCUUGCUGCCACCACCCCCUGCAGACCCCCCCUGCUGCCACCACCCCCUGCAGAUGCUCCUCCUACUGCCACCAACCCCCUGCAGACCCCCCUACAGUGAAUUGACAUGCUUGUAAUUUCUGAGUUGUAAACUGUGCAUGUUGUUUUCUUAUUGAAUUGCAUUUUCUGGUUAAUCAUGAAUGUGCUAGGCAUAAAAAUAAGGAUGGGACUGCGUGCUGGGAACCGAUUGCUGAAAAAAAUUAUGAGGAACUCAAAAAACUUCAUGAAACUUAGAUUCAGGACAUGGUGAGGAUACACUCAAUGUGAAAGAUUCUUACAUUAAAGCUUUGAAACGUAAAUCUGGGUAUGUGAGAGGACUUGGUCCUGGAGCUCGACCACCAAAAAAAAAGGUAAAACUGGAGAGAACAAUGAACGAUUGUCUACCCAAGUUGACACUCUUGCUGUAUCAAACGAGGAACUUAGAGUAUCAAACGAACAACUUAAAGCAUCUAAUGAAGAGUUCAAGGCAUCCAAUGAAGAGCUUAGAGCUGAAUUUUCUAAACUGAACAAAGAAGCUAUUGAACGUGAAAAGAAAAUGAGAGAAGAUAUGCUGAAACUGUUUCAGGACAUGAGGAACAAUGGGUCGUGACUAUUUUCCGAAAUUAGUAGAGGAAAGCUAUGAUAAGGCUUGGAUUGUGUGAAUUUCUUCGUAGAUUAUGAGUAUUGCUAAUUAGUUUUUUUUAGAUUUACAUUGAAUUAUUCAAGUUACAUCGAAUGUCAAAUUUGAAGAUUAUUUUGUUGUACUCCGAUUAUAUACAAUUUGUUAUUCCACG
Molecule: long non-coding RNA, 1087 nt
Organism: Beta vulgaris subsp. vulgaris (sugar beet)
Lineage: Eukaryota; Viridiplantae; Streptophyta; Magnoliopsida; Caryophyllales; Amaranthaceae
Exons: 2
Source: RefSeq, a predicted model, not a curated record